This 72-nucleotide transfer RNA is filed under the name Lacticaseibacillus rhamnosus ATCC 21052. RNAcentral's name for it is "Lactobacillus rhamnosus ATCC 21052 tRNA-Gly". It matches the Rfam family "tRNA". From Rfam's summary of the family: Transfer RNA (tRNA) molecules are approximately 80 nucleotides in length. The record is from RNAcentral. Lineage: Bacteria; Bacillati; Bacillota; Bacilli; Lactobacillales; Lactobacillaceae.
GCGGAAGUAGUUCAGUGGUAGUACAUCACCUUGCCAUGGUGGGGGUCGCGGGUUCGAAUCCCGUCUUCCGCU